Molecule: ribosomal RNA, 292 nt
Filed under: uncultured bacterium
Lineage: Bacteria
Description: partial 16S ribosomal RNA
Rfam family: Bacterial small subunit ribosomal RNA
Source: RNAcentral
GUGCCAGCAGCCGCGGUAAGACGAACCGUGCAAACGUUGUUCGGAAUCACUGGGCUUAAAGGGCGCGUAGGCGGGCUUGACAGUCAGGGGUGAAAGCCCACGGCUCAACCGUGGAAGUGCCUUUGAUACUGCAAGUCUCGAGGGAGGUAGGGGCGUGCGGAACUUCCGGUGGAGCGGUGAAAUGCGUAGAUAUCGGAAGGAACACCGGUGGCGAAAGCGGCGCGCUGGACCUCUUCUGACGCUGAGGCGCGAAAGCCAGGGGAGCAAACGGGAUUAGAUACCCUGGUAGUCC